AUUGAACGCUGGCGGCAGGCCUAACACAUGCAAGUCGAACGGUAACAGGAAGAAGCUUGCUUCUUUGCUGACGAGUGGCGGACGGGUGAGUAAUGUCUGGGAAACUGCCUGAUGGAGGGGGAUAACUACUGGAAACGGUAGCUAAUACCGCAUAACGUCGCAAGCCCAAAAAGGGGGACCUUCGGGCCUCUUGCCAUCGGAUGUGCCCAGAUGGGAUUAGCUAGUAGGUGGGGUAACGGCUCACCUGGGCGACGAUCCCUAGCUGGUCUGAGAGGAUGACCAGCCACACUGGAACGGAGACACGGUCCAGACUCCUACGGGAGGCAGCAGUGGGGAAUAUUGCACAAUGGGCGCAAGCCUGAUGCAGCCAUGCCGCGUGUAUGAAGAAGGCCUUCGGGUUGUAAAGUACUUUCAGCGGGGAGGAAGGGAGUAAAGUUAAUACCUUUGCUCAUUGACGUUACCCGCAGAAGAAGCACCGGCUAACUCCGUG
RNAcentral lists this ribosomal RNA (490 nucleotides) under uncultured bacterium. Its description in RNAcentral is "partial 16S ribosomal RNA". It matches the Rfam family "Bacterial small subunit ribosomal RNA", at positions 30 to 507 of the family's 1533-position model. The record is from RNAcentral.